Molecule: unclassified non-coding RNA, 128 nt
Filed under: soil metagenome
Description: partial internal transcribed spacer 1
Source: RNAcentral
CGAAUGGGUCUGAAGACUCUUAAAACCUACCGUGCUCCCCUACGUGGAAAACAGGAAAGCCCUCCGGGGCAUAGGAAAUCUGAGAAGUUGAGAACUGCGCCCCGGCGCAUGACUAAAACAAAAAAUUA